This 491-nucleotide ribosomal RNA is filed under the name uncultured bacterium. RNAcentral's name for it is "partial 16S ribosomal RNA". It matches the Rfam family "Bacterial small subunit ribosomal RNA", at positions 29 to 506 of the family's 1533-position model. The record is from RNAcentral.
AGUGAACGCUGGCGGUAGGCCUAACACAUGCAAGUCGAACGGCCGCACAGUAAGAGCUUGCUCUUACGGGUGGCGAGUGGCGGACGGGUGAGGAAUACAUCGGAAUCUACUUUUUCGUGGGGGAUAACGUAGGGAAACUUACGCUAAUACCGCAUACGACCUACGGGUGAAAGCAGGGGAUCUUCGGACCUUGCGCGAUUGAAUGAGCCGAUGUCGGAUUAGCUAGUUGGCGGGGUAAAGGCCCACCAAGGCGACGAUCCGUAGCUGGUCUGAGAGGAUGAUCAGCCACACUGGAACUGAGACACGGUCCAGACUCCUACGGGAGGCAGCAGUGGGGAAUAUUGGACAAUGGGCGCAAGCCUGAUCCAGCCAUACCGCGUGGGUGAAGAAGGCCUUCGGGUUGUAAAGCCCUUUUGUUGGGAAAGAAAAGCAGCAGGUUAAUACCCCGCUGUUCUGACGGUACCCAAAGAAUAAGCACCGGCUAACUUCGU